Long non-coding RNA from Oncorhynchus nerka (sockeye salmon), 4221 nucleotides. RefSeq lists it as uncharacterized. The record is from RefSeq and is a predicted model, not a curated record. NCBI's taxonomy places the organism in Eukaryota, Metazoa, Chordata, Actinopteri, Salmoniformes, Salmonidae. The transcript has 3 exons.
AGUAAAAGGUGAAAGCACGUUCAAAAAUGUCAACACCUCACCUGAUUGGUCAGAAGAAAAAGUCCUGUCCACCAGAGCUCAUGUCUUUCCUUCGGUGCUUGCUUGCAGAUUUUUGUUUUUAACUGCUGAACUUUUGACACAGGUUAGUCGCAAAAUGUGUGCCAAAACUAUUGAGUGCACAGAUUCGACAUCGGCAAAUGUAGUUUUGAUUCACAGAAGAAGAUUCACCAGUCGCAAGUUUACUCAAUGAGUUGUAUUCAUUCUGAAAUGUAGUUGCGUGCUUGCAAAUCUUAUUUAAUUUAUUCACAUAUCAACUUACAUGUUUGCAAGUGUUGUAUUUAUUCACACAUCACGCUAAACUCAGUCUACAGGUGCAACUCAUACUUUACAUGAUUGUAUAAUGAAGUCAAUAUUUUACCUCCAUAGAACUUUCCAUCAUUACUCUGUUGGGGAGAAACUGUUGAUGCUACGUGUAGGCUGGUACACACGCGCAGCCUUCAUCAUACAAGGACAAGACACGCACUAAGAGCAGAGCAAGUGCAUCAAAAUAGAUGUUUAGCAUCAUCUGGUGGUCAAAAGUUGCAAUGCACGUCUUCAAUUAAUAGUUUUUCUAAUUACACGGUUCUAUAGCCGACCAGUUGAUAUAUAGCUCAGUGUUCUAUAUGAUUGAUUAUGUUUAAGCUACUACAGUGUUUGACUGAGAAUGUAACAAUAACCUAUCUCGAAGCAGAAUUAUAUAUUGUUGUUGAGUGGUGAAUUAAUUGGUUGAUUUUUGGGGGUGAUCUAGUCAUAUACUCUCCUAUUCAUGUAUAACAUUCUGGGUGAUUUUUUUUGUUGCUAACUUAUUCACUGGACACGUCUGUUUAUUAUAGGCUGUUUAUUAUAGACUGCAUUAUAUGGUUUAUCGUUAAAUACUGUAUUAUAAGCAAGUGCCUUCGGCUUGUGCAAGAGGUGUCACUACAGUCCCUGGUUCGAAUCCAGGCUGGAUCACAUCCGGCCGUGAUUGGGAGUCCCAUAGGGCAGCGCACAAUUGGCCCAGCGUUGUCCGGGUUUGGCUGGGGUACGCCGUCAUUGUAAAUAAGAAUUUGUUCUUAAUAACUGACUUGCCUAGUUAAAUAAAGCUUAAAUAAAAUGUUUUAAAAAUUUUAAACUCUUGCAUCCAGCUCGCACACAGGUGCAUAUCCCUGCCUCUUUCCACUCGCUCCCCCUCUUUCCAAAUCCCCAGUCCACACACAUGUUGCUUAGUAACAAGUCCAAACAACUAAUGUCAAAAAUUGCUGUUUGCAAAGCUGGAGUAAUCCCACAGGGCUAGAGGGCCCCUAGAAAGGUUUGUGCUGGCAGAUUGUGCUGCAGUGCUGGAAAAAUGAACUUUUCAGUGCAUGAAAUGGGUGCUCUCCAUACAAACUCAUAGCACCACAGUUGUGAGCCAUAGUAGUGGUGCAAUGGGUUCACCCACACCCACCCGCAAUUGCUAAUAGUCCAUUUGCAACCGCCCAACUAUAUGUGAUAAAGUGAAAAUCUGAGGCCGGCACCUGACCCUAACCCGCAAAUAUAGCAAUGCGCUGUAGGCUAAAGUCAGAGUUGGCUGAACAGUUUUUUGGCAGGGGGGUUAUUGUCUGGUAGGACUACAAGAACUAUAUUCAAUAGUCAGGUUCAAUGCUAUCUGAGAGUCCAAUUUGUUUGCAAUGUACUGCAAUUUAAACUGAUGUAUAAGAUUUGAAGAGCUUAUAAACUCCAUAAAGAGUGUCUGAGAACUAUAGGAUGUGUAUUGGUUGACCAUGUGUGUGCAUGCCAUUUACAAAGGUAUUAUAUGAUUUGUCAUAACCUCUCAGGUUAAAUUUCUAAAUAAUAUUGGACUAUUCUGUGACAGUAUUUGAAUAUGUCAGUGAUUGUUCUUUGAUUGUUUGUGUGAUGGGUCAGUGGGUGGAUGUUGAUGUCACUAUUCUUAAAAAAUAUAUAUAUAAAUGGUUUAUUGAAUCAGUUGAGACAAAAGUAAGUCGCUCUGGAUAAGAGCGUCUGCUAAAUGACUUAAAUGUAAAUGUAAAUGUAAAAGAACAUACCUAAAUGAACAGAUGGAUUGACCUAUCAUUAGCACAUUCCCAAUCCAACCCACCCAAUCUAGAGUUAGCUAGGCUUGUAGCCUUAAGUGUUUAAGUAGCGCCAAUAGACCUACUGCUAUUUCUAAUUUCUUGACACCUGUUCUCACACUCAUCAGAUACUUUAAUACCUCUCCAGAAGUUCCUGUUACACCGGUUGAAUGGUUGUUGCCAGCCUCCCCCAGCAACUCACCGACAGGAGAGACCUGGGAGGUCAGCCAAACGCUACUGUAGAACACAUUUAAGAGCUAUUAGAACAAAGAGGGUGUGCAUCCCAGGGCAGAUUAGAAGGCAUCACUCUUUCACUGAUAGAAGUCUUCCCUGUACAUUGACGCAGGUUUCUCUUCCUCCUCUUAAGCACGGUUUUGUUUAUAGCUGAUAUGUCAAAUCAAAAUCAAUGUUCAAAAUUCUUUAUAAUGUGUUUGGGAGUCAUACUUCCUCUACAACUUCCUCUUGUUAGAAAAAGCCUUCAACAGUUAAUCCAAUUUUGAAUUAUCCUUAUUGGGGUUACUCUAACAAGUUCCUUGUUAUGGGCCACUUUAUGGCUGUCACACCUAGGUCUGCAAAUGAGAAGAAAGGACAUUAUGGUGUAGGCCUUUUGUCUCCCACAGAUUGAAGACACUCUAAACUAAAAAACGGAAUAUAAUGCAUGCAAUAAAGCUUAUUCACUCUGUUAUCGUAGAACCAGGGUUACGCAAUUAACCUUACGUUCUUUCUCCUUUGGUUGUGCAGUAGACUACAAGGAGCUGAACCAGUGCUUGCAGAGGUAUUACCAAGGUGACACUAUCACAAGCCUGCUUUUGCUGUACCCAACAUGCUUCAUAUCAUUGAGGUAGCCAAGAUUAGCCAGUAACACCUUUUAAUGAAACCCAUAGCAAUAAUUAUAUGCAAAUCUGUCAAUUACUUGAAUACAAGUAAAACCUCUAUGGCCCAUCUUGCCAUUGAUUAGGAUAAUGAUAUGGGAUUUUCAAUCAUUACCAUUCUUUUUGUUUCUCUUCUAGUCUUCAAGCGAGAUUCUUGUGUCUCUGCUGCAGGAUCUGAGAAACAUGCAGGAACGGCCACACUGGCAUUGUAUCUUACUUCAUGCAAAUUUGAAUCAAUAUAUCAUAGUUAUAUUUGUUCUGGCACUAAAUUCAGAGGGUCAAGCAUGUACAUUCUGUUGACAGACCAACCAAAGUCAUUAUAGCUUGACUAAAACUUGGCCAUAAACAUUGUUUGACAUGCUGUCUUGAUGUUGUCAUGGUCCCUGUCAUCGUCAUGCAGCGUCCUGAUCGAGGCGCCCAGGGUCCUGGUGAUGUUACAUUACAUUCCCAACAGGAUGUUUCAGCAGUAGAGCUGCAAGGUGCUGAACGUGCAGCCCAGGGUGGGAGGGGCUUCAAGUAGGGACAGGCUGAUGACGAGGAGGAGGACACAGAAACACUGGUCAGCACUGGGAAACCACCUCCUCAAAGCAACCAAUGUUCAAAGAUGCCCCCGGGCUUUGUAUUGAAUGAGAUACCAGAGAUGAUAGUUCCUCCGGACGUCCUGGUCCAGCACCUGUCCAGAGGAGAACUUCUAUGCCCCAAGCAGUACACUCUUACAAAAAAGGGUUCCAAAAGGGUUCUCUGGCUGUCCCCAUAGGAUAACCCUUUUUGGUUCCAGGUAGAACUGUUUUGGGUUCCAUGUAGAACCAUUUGUGGAAAGGCUUCUAAAUGGAACCCAAAAGGGUUCUACCUGGAACCAAAAAAUAUUCAAAGGGUUCUCCUAUGGGGCAGCAGAAGAACCCUUUUAGGGUUCUAGAUAGCACCUUUUUUUCUAAGAGUGUACCUGCGGGCCUAACACACCCUUCGCCACAUCCUCAUGGACUCUGAGCGUACUUGGCCUCCACCUGAGCACCUUCGAUGUGAAUUCUGACUUCUGAUGUGAUACAAAUGGACAUUUUCAUGUGCUUCCUACUCAAUAUGUUUUCAGGGUUCAUGCCUGGUUAUUUGUAUGUGUUAUUGAGAACUGCCAUUAAUCUGGACUGUGUGGAACAUUAAACUCAAACUAAUUUUCGUUGCUCCUAAAACUAUAGCUUUAAAAUACACAGGGACUGCGGGAUUGGUUUUGUUGUAUAUUGCAAAUAUUUAAUAAAUAUUUAACUCAA